UACGGAAGGCAGCAGUGGGGAAUAUUGCACAAUGGGCGAAAGCCUGAUGCAGCUAUGCCGCGUGUAUGAAGAAGGCCUUAGGGUUGUAAAGUACUUUCAUCGGGGAGGAAAAAACAAAACUAAUAAUUUUAUUUCUUGACGUUACCCGAAAAAGAAGCACCGGCUAACUCCGUGCCAGCAGCCGCGGUAAUACGGAGGGUGCUAGCGUUAAUCAGAAUUACUGGGCGUAAAGAGCACGUAGGUGGUUUUUUUAAGUCAGAUGUGAAAUCCCUGGGCUUAACCUGGAACUGCAUUUUGAAACUGAAAUACUAGAGUAUCGUAGAGGGAGGUAGAAUUCUAGGUGUAGCGGUGAAAUGCGUAGAUAUCUGGAGGAAUACCUGUGGCGAAAGCGGCCUCCUAAACGAAUACUGACACUGAGGUGCGAAAGCGUGGGGAGCAAACGAGGAUUAGGAUACC
This 456-nucleotide ribosomal RNA is filed under the name uncultured bacterium. Its description in RNAcentral is "bacterial SSU rRNA". It matches the Rfam family "Bacterial small subunit ribosomal RNA", at positions 340 to 786 of the family's 1533-position model. The record is from RNAcentral.